Molecule: long non-coding RNA, 1284 nt
Filed under: Drosophila guanche
Lineage: Eukaryota; Metazoa; Arthropoda; Insecta; Diptera; Drosophilidae
Source: RNAcentral
GUUCUUUUCGGGAGGAUUCCCUCGACCCACGACCCCCGACCCCGGUUCAGGUCCAACCAUUCGGCCUCGUCCGACCCCGGAUCCACGCGACCGACUCCUGCAGGCCAAAACACGCCGACAUUGGACUUCUUUCUAGGCCUCGGCUCUCUCGCUCCGUGAAAUUCUAUGCAUUUCCGUGUUGGCAUUUGUCGCUGGUUCAUUGUGUGAACUCUCGGGGCGAGACAGUGCACAAGUGGACAUGGCACAGUGGUGGAUUAUGAUGAUAGCUAUGGCAUAUCUGGUCCAUAAGUUUAAAUAUUUUAAAAAUAGAAGAAAUUCCAGAAAUUCCAAUUACAUUCAGAACUUCAAAGCUUCACAAAUUUCUGAAUAUAAUUUAUACAUCAAAAGUGAGCUCAGCUCGUCCACUGUUAAUUUUGGUUAACGAAAAGUAUGCGGCCAUCCACUUCCACUCAGCGUCUCUCACACACAUUUCCGGCUUCACUCUGUCUCACUCUUCCUCCCUCUCUCUCUUCGUGUAUCUCUAGUGCAGUGCAGUGGGCCCACGCUAUAUGCAUUAUAAUUUGAGUGGCAUGUUGAGAGUGGCUUUUGUUUUGCUUUUAAUUAGAUUUACAUUGGCCACUUUUCGGUUGCGGAUCCAGUUUGGCCUAGGCGCUACUCGUCCUCGUUCACGGCCUCAUCCCGCCGCUCUACGGGUCGGGUCUUUCAUCAACUCUGGUGACUGGCAAUGCGCUUUGUUUAUUUUGGCGCCUUCUGCAGUGGGCCCAAACCAUUUUAAUUUGCCUUUCACUGUCGUCCGCUGUCCGCUGUCCAUAGGCCACAGUCCGCUGUAUCCCUGUCUCAUUCUCUAAGUUCCACUCAGUGUUUUGUUGUCUUUUCAAUACCCUGCAGUUGAGGGCUAACAAUGGUAGAUUAUAUUUGUGUGGAUUAAUAGAAUAGACAGAGGGCAAAGUUUUCUUGGGAAAAUUAGCUAAAUUUGCGAUAACUGUAUAUAUAACUGUAAUUCAGCUAGAUCGGGAAUUGAUGCGUAAUUAAUAUCAGCCGCCUCUUGCUCACAAGCUGAAGCCGCGCGAGAGCCAUGCGGAUCGGGAGAGCGCUAACAGUGAGCUGCAGACGGAGCACGUUUACAGGCUGUUAGCGGAUCACAGUAACAGUAUGUUACGUUGGAUGGCUAACAGCGCUGUUGCUGACCUGUACAGCAGACAAGCAAUUACUUACUCACGAAUAUUGUAUAUUAUUAUUUCCACUAAAGACUUUUAAGGAUAUCCCAUAGUCGCAUUAUCGACU